GGCGUAGGUGACAAGCGUUAUCCGGAAUUAUUGGGCGUAAAGAGCGUGUAGGCGGUAUAUUAAGUUCAUUGUAAAAGACACUAGCUCAACUAGUGCAGCGCAAUAAAUACUGAUAAACUAGAGUGCAGAAGGGGCGAGUGGAAUUCCAUAUGUAGCGGUGAAAUGCGUAGAUAUAUGGAGGAACACCAGUGGCGAAAGCGUCUCGCUGGUCUGCAACUGACGCUAAGACGAGAAAGCGUGGGUAGCAAACAGG
RNAcentral lists this ribosomal RNA (253 nucleotides) under uncultured bacterium. RNAcentral describes it as "partial 16S ribosomal RNA". It matches the Rfam family "Bacterial small subunit ribosomal RNA", at positions 524 to 776 of the family's 1533-position model. The record is from RNAcentral.